RNAcentral lists this ribosomal RNA (371 nucleotides) under uncultured organism. Its description in RNAcentral is "bacterial SSU rRNA". It matches the Rfam family "Bacterial small subunit ribosomal RNA", at positions 527 to 896 of the family's 1533-position model. The record is from RNAcentral.
GGGGGGGGCAAGCGUUGUUCGGAAUUACUGGGCGUAAAGGGCGCGUAGGCGGCCUGCUAAGUCGGACGUGAAAUCCCUCGGCUCAACCGGGGAACUGCGUCCGAUACUGGUGGGCUCGAAUCCGGGAGAGGGAUGUGGAAUUCCAGGUGUUGCGGUGAAAUGCGUAGAUAUCUGGAGGAACACCGGUGGCGAAGGCGGCAUCCUGGACCGGUAUUGACGCUGAUGCGCGAAAGCCAGGGGAGCAAACGGGAUUAGAUACCCCGGUAGUCCUGGCCCUAGACGAUGAGUGCUUGGUGUGGCGGGUAUCGAUCCCUGCCGUGCCGAAGCUAACGCAUUAAGCACUCCGCCUGGGGAGUACGGUCGCAAGGCUG